Molecule: long non-coding RNA, 360 nt
Filed under: Bos indicus x Bos taurus (hybrid cattle)
Lineage: Eukaryota; Metazoa; Chordata; Mammalia; Artiodactyla; Bovidae
Description: lncRNA (ENSBIXG00005011269.1)
Source: RNAcentral
UCUGUAGUCAUUUGGUAAAAUGGGGUAUUCUCAUACUCUGGAUAGCUGUUUCUUCUAGAUAUCUCUGAAUUAGCCAUUAGAAAGUUUUCAUUUCAAAAGGUCAUAAUUCUGAAAUAUAUUUUAAUUGCAUCUGCUUCGGUAAACAGGGUAUAUUGAAGGAAGAAGAAUGUUGAGUUUGCAGUGCUGUAACGCUACUCUUCUACACAUCUCCCUAGUAUUUCUGUGUGUGGCUCUACUUAUAAAAAAAGCAAACUUUGAAAUUCUGUUUUAUGAAGGAAACUCAUGUGAAGAUGGAUAAAAUGGGAAGAUAUUUGAGGCUGAAGGUCAAUAUGGAGAGAUAUAGAUGAGACACAAUUGCAC